AACCUGACUGCUCUUGAGUGGCGCCUCCCCAGGCAGACAAGGACCCGGCAAACCAGGCGUGAGCCCUGAGCCAUGGCGCAGCAGGUUUACUCGAUGGGCGGGUAUCGCGGUUCCAGCCACCACAUCUGUGGGCCAGCGAUGACCAGGUCCACUGGCGCAGCAGGUGACCUUCCCUCUUGCCCAGGACCUGGAGCUUGGCCCGUGCCACCAGGCUGGGCUUUGAAGACUCUAGCGGUCCCACCCGACCCCCUGCCUGUGCUGUCUCCGGCCGGCCUCACUGUCCGUCCCCCAGGGUGUUCCCAAAAUGGGAGUGGAGGGGUUCGGGAAAGGAUGAGUGGAUCGGCCAGGUGGGCCGGUGGGAGAGCGGCCUGCCUCCAUCCCCCUGGGAAGCACUGUGCUGGUUUCCCAGGCUGAGCACCUGGAUUAUUAUUAUUUUUUUAAACCACAAUGGACUCGGCUGAGUUGGACAGGGCGCUGGGCUGUAUCGCCAUAGGCGGCGCUGUGUCCCCCGUCUUCUCCUGCACCGGCAGGGUCAGGCUGAUGUCUGGAACAAAAACAAAGUUGCCUGUGACUCUUGGCCGUGGAUCACUCGGCUCACACAUCGAUUAAGAAUGCAGCUAGCUGCAAGUCUACCCCUGUCUGAGGGUCACUUGUACAUCAAUCAGCCCAGGGUCCCUCCAGGGGUGUGUCUGGGGCUGUCGCAGGGACCCCGUUCCCUUUGUCCCCUUAAGGUCAGACUCCGAUCAACACCGUUCCAGGAUCCCUGGACAUGCGGACCUUCACCCUACCCCUUGGCACCCGGCCAUGCUGUGUUUAACUGUCUGUGGUGUCCCGUUGGCUGCUGGCGCAGGAUGGCCAAAGAGUGCAGGCCUCGAGACCAUGUGGGUUCAGGGCUGGGACAACCCCCGUACAGGCACAAGGCCAGUUGCCCCGAGCUUUGUGCUCCCCCCAACUACGGCCUCAGAUCAGACGUGGCGACCCACUGAACUUAAGCAUAUUACUAAUCAGAGGAAAAGAAACUAAUCAGGAUUCCCUGAGUAACGGCCAGUGAAGGUGGAAGAGCCCAGCACCGAAUCCCUGUUCAGAGGCAGGCAUGGGAAAUGUGCCGUACAGAAGACUGACUCCCUGGCAUCGCCGUCUCACCCCACGGACCGUGUUAGACCGGUAGCAGCCCCUGACCCCAGAAAAGGUGUUGGUUGAUAUAGACAGCAGGACGGUGGACAUGGAAGUUGAAAUUCGCUAAGGAGUGUGUAACAACUCACCUGCCGAAUCAACUAGCCCUGAAAAUGGAUGGCGCUGGAGUGUCAGGCCCACACCUGGCCAUCGCCGGCGCUGAAAGCCGCAGGGGCUAAGACGCAACAAGUAGGAGGGCCGCUGUGGUGCACACGGAAGCCCGGGCUGAGGGCCCGGAUGGAGCCACCGCAGGUGUAGUUCUUGGUGGUAGUAGCAAAUAUUCAAAUGGGAAUUUUGAAGGCCGAAGUGGAGAAGGGUUCCAUGUGACAGCAGUUGAACAUGGAUCAGUCGGUCCUAAGAGAUAGGUGAGCAAUGUUCGGAAGGGACGGGCGAUGGGCUCCGUUGCCCUCAGCCGAUCGAAAGGGAGUCGGGUUCAGGGUACCCUGGAAUAGGUUCGCCGUGAGAGAGCGGCCCGAGCCUUGGAAAGUGUCGCAGUUCCAGCAGCGUGCAGUGAGCUCUUGCUAGUCAUUGUAAAUCCGGGGGAGAUGGUGUAAAUCUCACGCUGGGCCGUACCCACAUCCGCAGCAGGUCUCCAAGGUGAGCAGCCUCUAGCAUGUUGGAACCAUGUAGGUAAGGGAAGUCGGAAAGUCAGAUCUGUAACUUCGGGAUAAGGAUUGGCUCUAAGGGCUGGGUCGGUCGGGCUGGGGUGCACAGCGGGACUGGGUGUAUGCCACGGCUGGACGAGGCGUCUCACCCCCCGACCCCAGGGGCGGCGCCAACUCUGGAUACAAGCCGGGCCCUUCCUGUGGAUCGCCCCAGCUGCAGUGGUCGCCUCUCUCUGUUCCCCACCUGGGGUUCGUGCCAAGGUUCUGCCUCGACCAACGCCUAGCAGCUGAUUUAGAACUGGUACAGACCAGGGGAAUCCGACUGUUUAAUUAAAACAAAGCAUCGCGAAGGCCCUCAGUGGGUGUUGACGCAAUGUGAUUUCUGCCCAGUGCUCUGAAUGUCAAAGUGAAGAAAUUCAAUGAAACAUGGGUAAACGGCGGGAGUAACUAUAACUCUCUUAAGGUAGCAAAGUGCCUCAUCAUCUAAUUAGUGACGCGCAUGAAUGGAUGAACAAGAUUCCCGCUGUCCCUACCUACUAUCUAGUGAAACCACGGCCAAGGGAAUGGGCGUGGCAGAAUCAGCGGGUAAAGAAUACCCAAUUGAGCUUUCCUCCAGUCUGGCACUGUGAAGAGACAGAGGUGUAGGAUAAGUGGGAGGCCCUCGGGCCACCGGUGAAAUACCACUACCCUUAUUGUUUUUUCACUUACCCGUGAGGUGGGGGUGAGCCCCCUUGGGCCUCUCACUUCUGUCUCCAAGCACCCAGCAGCCACUGUGCGUGACCCACUCCGGGGACAGUGGCAGGUGGGGAGUUUGACUGGGGUGGAACACCUGCCAAACGGUAACGCAAGUGUCCUAAGGCAAGCUGAGGGAGGACAGAAACUUUCCAGUGUUACAUAAGGGCAAACGCUUGCUUGAUCGAUUUUAAGUAUGAAUACACACCGUGAAAGCGGGACCUCACAAUCCUUCUGACUUUUUGGGUUUUCAAGCAGGAGGUGUCAGAAAAGUUACCCCAGGGAUAACUGGCUUGUGGCGGCCAAGCUUUCAUAGCGAGGUCGCUUUUUGAUCCCUCGAUGUUGGCUCUUCCUAUCACUGUGAAGCAGAAUUCACCAAACGUUGGAUUGGUCACCCACUAAUAGGGAACCUGAGGUGGGUUUAGACCCUCGUGAGACAGGUUAGUUUUACCCUUUUGAUGAUGUGUUGUUGCAAUAGUAAUCCUGUUCAGUAUGAAAGGAACUGCAGGUUCAGACAAUUGGUGAAUGUGCUUGGCUGAGGAGCCAAUGAGGCGAAGCUACCAUCUGUGGGAUUAUGACUGAACGACUCCAAGUCAAAAUCCCCCCUAAACUGUAAAGAUACUGCAGUGCUGACGAUCCUCGGUUGGUCUAGAAUAUCCAGCCACUGGGCCGGUGCGUAGAUUCGCUCGCCUCGGGAAUCGAUUGUAGAGAGAACGGUGGCCACCUCUCUCGCCCGUAGUGCACUGCAUGUUUGUGGGGAACCUGGUGCUAAUUCAUUCGUUGACAACCUGAUUCUGGUUAGGGUUUUGUAAGUAGCAGAGCAGCUACCUCGCUGCGAUCUAUUGAAAGUCAUCCUC
Molecule: ribosomal RNA, 3367 nt
Filed under: Ambystoma mexicanum (axolotl)
Lineage: Eukaryota; Metazoa; Chordata; Amphibia; Caudata; Ambystomatidae
Description: eukaryotic LSU rRNA
Rfam family: Eukaryotic large subunit ribosomal RNA (bases 956-3367)
Source: RNAcentral